This 253-nucleotide ribosomal RNA is filed under the name uncultured bacterium. RNAcentral's name for it is "partial 16S ribosomal RNA". It matches the Rfam family "Bacterial small subunit ribosomal RNA", at positions 524 to 776 of the family's 1533-position model. The record is from RNAcentral.
UACGAAGGGGGCUAGCGUUGCUCGGAAUCACUGGGCGUAAAGCGCACGUAGGCGGACUCUUAAGUCGGUGGUGAAAUCCUGGAGCUCAACUCCAGAACUGCCUUCGAUACUGAGAGUCUCGAGUCCGAGAGAGGUGAGUGGAACUGCGAGUGUAGAGGUGAAAUUCGUAGAUAUUCGCAAGAACACCAGUGGCGAAGGCGGCUCACUGGCUCGGUACUGACGCUGAGGUGCGAAAGCUAGGGGAGCAAACGGG